Molecule: long non-coding RNA, 1328 nt
Filed under: Homo sapiens (human)
Lineage: Eukaryota; Metazoa; Chordata; Mammalia; Primates; Hominidae
Description: non-protein coding lnc-ATG9B-2:9
Source: RNAcentral
GAUACUCCUGAGAGAGGCAAGAGGAAUCUAACAUUCGACUAAGAAACAGGAAGCGGGUGGCAGUAGGCCCUGGGGUACCGCUGCUGGGAGGGGCCUUCCAGAUUAAGGCGGACCCAGGCCCGAGGCAACAGGCCUAGAGAGGGAAAAGAGGCGUUUUGCUCCUUCCUGGAGGAAUAAUGCUGAAUCCUUGCAGCCUCUGGACAGAUGUGAGAAGGCACCACCUCAAGAGGGGAGGAGCGGGGCUGAUCCUGGUCGGGCGGACCUGAGUCGGGCAGCCGCUCUCCCGGAACUGGAAGGGAAAGCCAGGCGGCUCUCAGGGGCUGUUGGUGUCUGAGCCGGGAGGGUCGAACGCCCAGGGCACUGCGCCCCGCAACUGACGCUCCUGCAAGGAAAAGCUCUGGGUGCGUAUGCGGCUUGUCACCUCCUGGGUGCGCAGCGUGAGCCCGAAAAUGUCUUCGUGGUAGCGUUGCUGAUCCUGUCGGAAAAGAGCACAGUGGAUCAGAACCCGACUCGGAGACCUUAGCAGGAACCCCGCACGCUCAGGCCCGGCCCGCCCCUCCGCACCCGCAGCACGCCGAUGACGUCGCCGGCCUCGUCCAGCUCCAUGUCGCCCUCCGUCGCCAGGAUGCGCUGCACGGUCUGCAGGACGUUGGUUGCCAUGGUAACAUCGCCGCAGACAAACAUGUGGCCCCGCUCGAGGCACAGCACGCGGUGCACCUCCGCAGCCAGCUCCGUCCUCAGGAUGUCCUGCACGUUACCAUUGCGCCCUCAGGGUCUCACACCUUGGGGUUGUCAGGUUCCCGGGAGAAGGCGGUGAGGACUCGGCCAAACACCCCGCGCUGCUGGGCGUUCUGCACCUCGUCGCGGUAGAGAUGGUCAAGUUGGGAGCAUCGGCAGCCGAACACCAAAGUCAUGGGAGUGGGCUGCAGCCCUGCAAGCAACCCCGCGCUUGGGAAGGCUCUUCUCCGGGGCACAGUGCUAGUGGGGCCUCCCCACAGGCCACCGUCGCCCAGCCUGGCAGCCCAGCGUUUUGGGCUGAAACCACCAUUACUUUGGCUGUUUCAUCUCUAAGAGAGUGUAGAAUGCUUUCACAGAGACCCUGCACAGCCCUGAUUUACAGAGGGAAGGGAAGCGCGGCCGCUCCUGCCAGAAUCCCCGGAAGGGGGCAAUGCCAGUGCCUGGACCCACCAGGAUGCAGGGCAAGCUGGGAUCGGGUGGCAGCCGGAAGGAGGGAGCCCUGGCAGGAGAGACACUCCAUCAGGUCCCCUUUGCCUUUCCUGCUCCACCAUUCUCACCAUGCAGGGUGGGUGGAGCAAGGAGGACCCAAG